UUACCUGAAACCUUUUGAAGUUAAGUUGCAACCCUUUUCUAAACCAUUUUUGAGGAUUUAAUUCCGUGUGUUCAGUGAGUAGCAGACCAUACAGUCACAAUCAUAAGUCACAAUCCAGUUCAUCUUGGUUGCAUAUCUACAUAAAAUUUACUGUACUUCUUGCAAACAUUGUGAUACACUACGUUUGAAAAAGAUCAAUUUGUUGAGCGUCCUUACAUAAACGUAAACGUUGAACAUGGAGAAUUCUACCCAAACUUGUCACUUAAUUUCGUACCUGCCCGAGAUAAUUUCCAAAAUUAUGGGGUAUCCCCCAGCAAAAAUACAGCGUAGGUUCCCAUCUGCCUAUUAAUGCCACACAUGAACCUACUAGUGCCAACUGGAACCUACGCUUUUUCCAUAUAGGAAUUGUCCAAUAGGAAAAUUCGAGCGAAGGAUCCUAUUUGACAAAUUUCCCCCUAUGGUUUCCCACUGCUACCUAUGGGAUCCACAAUUUUUUUUCAAAUAUGCCAACGAAAAUUCCAUUUCGAAUUGGAAACUUAGUGUAUUUAUUCUUAUCGGAAAUUAACCAAUGAGUAAAUAUGAUUUUGUGCAUAUAUAUGUACGUAUCUGAAAAUCAAAACUCUUGUAUGUAAUUUCAUGAAAAUUAUUAUUUUGUUAACAACUUUAAGUAAAUUUAUUCUUGUGAUUAAUCUACUUCGAACAAAUUAGGGACUUCAAUAUAAAAAUAUUCGUUAUUUAUAACACAA
Molecule: long non-coding RNA, 746 nt
Organism: Folsomia candida
Lineage: Eukaryota; Metazoa; Arthropoda; Collembola; Entomobryomorpha; Isotomidae
Exons: 3
Source: RefSeq, a predicted model, not a curated record